UACCUGCAGCUCGAGUGGUAACCGCUAUUAUUGGGCCUAAAGCGUCCGUAGCCGGUUUGGUAAAUAUCUGGGUAAAUCGUGAGGCUUAACUUCACGAAUUUCGGAUAGACUGCCAGACUUGGGAUCGGGGGAGGUCAGAGGUACUCCAGGGGUAGCGGUGAAAUGUUGUAAUCCUUGGAGGACCACCGGUAGCGAAGGCGUCUGACUAGAACGAGUCCGACGGUGAGGGACGAAGCCCUGGGGCGCAAACCGGAUUAGAUACCCGGGUAGUCCAGGGUGUAAACAAUGUGGGCUUUGUAUUGGAGGUCCCACGUGGGCGUCCAGUGCAGAAGAGAGGUUGUUAAGCCCACCGCCUGGGAAGUACGGUCGCAAGGCUGAAACUUAAAGGAAUUGGCGGGGGAGCACAGCAACGGGAGGAGCGUGCGGUUU
RNAcentral lists this ribosomal RNA (429 nucleotides) under uncultured archaeon. Its description in RNAcentral is "bacterial SSU rRNA". It matches the Rfam family "Archaeal small subunit ribosomal RNA", at positions 474 to 903 of the family's 1478-position model. The record is from RNAcentral.